Molecule: long non-coding RNA, 758 nt
Filed under: Homo sapiens (human)
Lineage: Eukaryota; Metazoa; Chordata; Mammalia; Primates; Hominidae
Description: HSALNT0201051
Source: RNAcentral
CUUGAGUGGGCGUGGCUGUCCGCGAUGUCUGCAUCUGAGGGAUUAAAACGUAGGGUGGGAUGAGCUAAAACGUUAGCAAUGUAUUUAAAGACAUGGUCAGCAUAACUGAAGAAAAAGAUUAUCAGAACGGAAAAAUGGGGUUCAAAGAGACGAAAGGUGUCAGAACAUGUCCAACCCUAGCCAAGGAGAGAGAGACAAUAUUUGAAGGACAGGGUCAGGGUAGUAAAUUGGCGUCCCUGGCCAACGUCAUUAGCACAAAUGGGCACUGGGAUCAAACUUAGUAGCCUUGGGUAUAUUGAAAACAUGCCGUUUCUAGACCUGGAAAAAAAAAAGCCGUGUUUCAGCUCAGAGGCUACCCGAGCUGUUCUGAUGAAGCAAGCGGAGCACCUCAGUUUCCAAAACCCGGAAGUCUGUAACGAAACGAACAAAAAUGGGUUUUGUCAUGUUGCCCAUGGUCUGGAACUCCUGGGCUGGAAUUCCUGGGCUCAAGCCGUCUGCCUGCCUUGCCCUCCCAAAGCCUGGGAUUACAGAUAUGAGCUGCCGCAGUCGGCCCAUUCUUUUCUAUUGCUGGGUAGUGUUCCAUUAUAUGGAUAUACCACAAUUUGUUUCACCAUUCACCAAUUGAUGGACACUUGGGAUAUUAGAUAUAAAGUGCUAAUAACAUUUAUGUACAAGUCUUGGUGAACAUAUGCAUUCAUUUCUAUUGAAUAAAUACUUUAGGAUUGGAAUGGCUGUGUCAUAGGUUAUGUAUAUGUAUA